UACGUUUCCCUGACACAAGUGUGCCUUCACAUUAGAGCGCCUCGUUGUCCGUGUUUUCAUUUACAGUAUAUAUUUUAAUUUUUUUUAAUAUAUUUAUUUUAUUCACGUUUGUCAGGGUUGUUUACAUGCUUCUCUGCGAUGUGUCAAACUUGAAGCUGUAUUUAUAUCUUCCCAGGGACUUGAAAAUGUCACCGAGGGUGACAUUUAGCCGAGGUGCCGCCUCACAUCUCCACUAAGAAUCGAGUCGGGAGAGACCUCUCGACAUCCAGCCACCCCUUGCUACUCGUUCAUCGAAUUGCUAGCGGGUGUGACUUUGAGCGUGUCUACGUAUGACACGAGAUCAGUCAGCCGGGAAACGCUUCGCGAACUUCUUUGAGAUACUAAACAUGGAGGCGGGUGCUCCAGACAGAUGUUGAAGUGUUUGGUCUGGUCGGGCUUCACGCGGCGCAGAGCCACCCGCGACUCCCCGAUGAACUCGUUGUGAGUCAGCUUGUCUUCGUCGCAGACGGACACCCUGGAAAGGACAGAGGUGACUCACUGUUAUCGUCGCUGUCGCAGCUGUCCACCUCGAUGGAGGUGUCGACGCUGCUCAUGGCGGACAGCAAGCCACCGCCGCCUCCCGCCGCCAACAAAGGCGACAACAGCCCGCCGCCGCUCACGUCUCCCGCGCGGCCCGGGCUGAGCGCCCCGGCUCCACUGGCGGUGACCCCGGCUGCUCCCGUCUGAUUGGGCGAGAGCGGCUCCGAGAAGGACGAAGUUGGCGAGAGACGGGGGAAGUAGGCGGAGAUUUGCCGGAUGGGCCGGAUCGGUCCCGGGCAGACGUCGAUGGCCAUGUGCUCCUGGAUGGUGACGGCUAAAGUUUUUCCUUUCCGCACCGUCAUUGGGAUGAAGGUCGAAAGACUGAAAGGAAAAAAGAAGAGUCAUCAACUCAAUUCAUUUUCUCCACCAAACCAAAUUCAAUGACCAUUAUUUCAUUCCAAGUCAAGCACAAGGUCACCACGAGGUCCAAAUAUAUGAUUAGAGCCUGAUUAACUGAUUUUUAUUCUUGAUCUUCUUUUCAGGACGGUGUCUGAGGCACUUUGGGCCACACGUGGGAGCGCUCGGCUCCAUAUCGCAUUCAAUGCCGCAGAUCGCAGCUGGCCCCCCGGUGGAGGCGUUGUUUCCUCCGCGCUCGAUGAAUCCCCCUCUGGACCACCUGCAGCAUCCAUCGAUUGCAAGCGAGAUGCUCGGGGUGUUAUAUCUCAGGAGUUUAGUGUGAGAGAAGAAAAAAGAAAAAAAAACCUGGUAGACUUGAAACAGAUGAGGGUCGGCGGGGUCGUUUGUCACGGAGGCGAGCGGCCUCGGCGCUGCGAGCGGCGAGCCGCGCGUGUCACAGCUCAUCCAGCCGGCGUCUCCUUGGCUGAGGAUGAAACAAUCAUCGGGGAGGCGCACGGCAACGUGCCAGCUGCCAGCCCCCAAAGCUUCUUUGACUCUUUUGACUGAGAGCGUGUUGACAAGGACGCUGGCUCUUCAUUUGUGCAGAUGGCUGUUGAUUGGUUAGCUAACAUACGUGUUGUCUCUCGUUUGCAGAUUUGCAUCCGGGAGCGGCAAAGUGUGCAACAUGUGCCAAAAAAAAAAGCUCCGACAUGGACGUCGAGGUAAAGUGAUGACCUUUAAGUUCCAACAGUCCAGGUAUGGAUGUCAGAAAGAUGUAUUUACUCUGAUGAGAAGAUAAGUGGAACUUAAGGUGCACCAAAAAGCCAGGCAACACGAAGAUUGCAUCAGUUCAUUAAUUCGCAUGCACGCUCAGACAAUGCGACUGUGUGUGUGCGCUGAUGUGAUGUGCUCAGUCAGUGGCACAUGUGGCUGUGAGCACACACUUAGCCGCAGGGCCUGAUGCUUCCCGGGAGGAGGGGGGCGGGGGGGG
Syngnathus acus (greater pipefish) is the source of this 1906-nucleotide long non-coding RNA. RefSeq lists it as uncharacterized. The record is from RefSeq and is a predicted model, not a curated record. The transcript is spliced from 6 exons. Lineage: Eukaryota; Metazoa; Chordata; Actinopteri; Syngnathiformes; Syngnathidae.